RNAcentral lists this transfer RNA (76 nucleotides) under Eubacteriales Family XIII. Incertae Sedis bacterium. Its description in RNAcentral is "tRNA-Thr". It matches the Rfam family "tRNA". From Rfam's summary of the family: Transfer RNA (tRNA) molecules are approximately 80 nucleotides in length. Their secondary structure includes four short double-helical elements and three loops (D, anti-codon, and T loops). Further hydrogen bonds mediate the characteristic L-shaped molecular structure. tRNAs have two regions of fundamental functional importance: the anti-codon, which is responsible for specific mRNA codon recognition, and the 3' end, to which the tRNAs corresponding amino acid is attached (by aminoacyl-tRNA synthetases). tRNAs cope with the degeneracy of the genetic code in two manners: having more than one tRNA (with a specific anti-codon) for a particular amino acid; and 'wobble' base-pairing, i.e. permitting non-standard base-pairing at the 3rd anti-codon position. Lineage: Bacteria; Bacillati; Bacillota; Clostridia; Peptostreptococcales; Anaerovoracaceae. The record is from RNAcentral.
GCUGCCCUAACUCAGUCGGUAGAGUACCUCCUUGGUAAGGAGGAAGUCGGCGGUUCGAGUCCGCUGGGCAGCUCCA